GUUCCUCAGAGCUGCGCGGCUGUGACGUCAUAGGCUGACCUCUAGGAAACCAUGUAUUUUCUUCAAGUUCGAGGACCUGGAGAUGUUCUGUGUAGGAAAUCUCUUGGAGCUAAUAAGACUGAAGAAAGAGGUUAUCCCUAAACUGUGUGCACUGUAAAAUAGAAAUGUAAACUAGAAAAUAUAAAAUAGAAAACAAGGUGGAGGUGCCUGAAAAGAUUGAACCCGGCAAUCUCUCUUCUGGGCAGUUAAAAGCAGCGCCUCGAAGAGAUAUUUGCACGCUGUCGUUGGCCGUAGCACUGUUUACAAGAGCCAAGAGGUGCAGAGAAUGCGCGUGUCCAUCAUCACGUGAGUGGAUGCAGAAAUCGUGACUGUGAAGUGGGGAAAAGCUUGGGAAAGGAGAGAGUGGAGGAAAAAACAAAAAACAAAAACAAACAAACAAAAAAAAACAGGAGCUUUGUACAACCCUGGCUGGGAAAUAACUCCGAGAAAAAAAAAUUUUUUUUAAUGUAAGAAAUGGGAUGAUUUCAUGAAACGCCAGAGGUAAAGAUGGAGGACCGGAGGAGUCGCACGGCGCUGGGUGGCCGUGAUGGGACUUGUUUUUCCGAGUUGGAAAACAGUAUGGGUGCGGCAGGACACAUGAGUUCCUGCGUAGACACGCUGAGCAUGAGGUACUAUGGGACCCAACAUGGCGAAGUUCAGGGGAGGGAAGUGGGCAUAGCCUCACGCCUCACAGGUUGUGCUGGAAGGCGUAAGAGUGACUGAUGGCGCUUUGCCUCCGCGUGGGCCCGGCCUGCAGGUGCAGCAUCUGGGCAUUCUCUCACCAUCAGGGCUGGGAGCCCAGAGGAAUAGCCAUCUGGCAAAGGGCCAAGAGGCAGACCCAGCAAGGCUGAGGCCAACUCCACCUCCUAUGAGGAACUGAGGUUUGUUGAGACUUCCCUCGGUUCAGGAUGUUACCCCAGGUCAAAGAGAGAGCCUAGAAGAAGUUGAAGAAACCUCUGGGUGAAAAUCGCAGUGGGCGCAGGUGAGUCAGCUCUCCUUGCACCUGUCACUAGGAGCCCCACCUUUCCAUCCAGGAGCUCAGCAAGACAGUCAGUGACCUUCCAUGUCUGCUGCCUGACACACAAACAGGUUGUGAAACAGCCUGGCAGUGACUCAGCCUGAGGACGGCUCCACUGGCUAGCUCUGCGGGCGGGGCUGUGUGACACCUGAAAGGACAUCGUGUCUAACAAACAUGUUGCUUGUCCCAGCACUGAUGGAGGGUGCCAAGCUCAGUCGGUGAACUCUGGUCCUUGAGGCAUCACAGAUGACGGAACUGGGGUGCCUAAGUUGCAUGGAUCUCGGGUUGUAAUUCUGGUCUAACAACCACCCAGGGCCAAUGUCAAGAAGAGAGGAAUGUGUUAGAGGCUGGGGAGCUCCUUUUUAUCAAGAGGUGGCCUGGGCUGUGGCUCUUGGUGUCCAGAUUGUGUGAUCUGAGUUCAAAGCCCUGAGCUCUACUGCUUACUGCCUAUGUAACUUUAGGCAAGUGGCUUAUGCCUCUAAGUUAAAACUGCCUUACUCUGUAAAAACCUCAGCCUGGAAAAAUGAUGUUUUAGAGAUAAAAGAUGUAAAUUUCCUGAACCAGGGCCAGGUAUUUGUUCAAGUGUUUGGGAUACUGCUUGGGAGGCUCUUGCUUUAUAUCAGUGCUUGUUUUUGUUUUUGUUUUUUAAGAUUUAUUUUACUUAUAUGAAAAGCAGAGUUACAGGCAGAGGCAGAGAGAGAGAGAGAGAGAGAAAGUCUUUCAUCUGCUGGUUCACUCCCCAAAUGGCCACACUGGCUGGAGCUGAUCUGAUCUGAAGGCACAUGGGUGCAGGGGCCCAAGGACUUGGGCCAUCUUUCGCUGCUUUCCCAGGCACAUAAGCAAGGAGCUGGAUCUGAGGUGGAGCAGCCAGGACACGGGAUGCCAGCACUGGGGGCAGUGGCUUUACCUGCUACACCUCAGCAGCGGCCCCAGUGCUUGGGUUUUAUAUAGGCUCCACACCUGACUCCAGCUUCCUGUUAGUGCAAACCCUGGGAGGCAGUGAUGAUGACACAGGUGUCUGAGUUCCUACUGCUCACGUGGAAAAUAUGGAGGGAGUUCCUGGCUCCUGGCUUUGACCUGGCUUAGUCUUGGCUGUUGUAGGCAUUUGAGGAAAGGACUAGAGAUAAGAGAGUUUUCUCUCUCUCUCUCUCUGCCUCCCAAAUUUUAAAAAAAUUUUUUUAAACUGAACUAAUUAUUCCUAAAAACAAACCAAAGAAUUUCCUAAUAGAAAGCUUUCCAGAAAUUACUAUUGGAAACUUGUGCUGGGGCUGGUACUGCAGCAUAGUGGGUAAAGAACCGGCAUCCUAUAUGGCUACUGGUUUGAGUCCCGGCUGCUCUACUUCUGAUCCAGGUCCCUGCUAAUGCAUGGGAAAGCAGUGGAAAAUGGCCUAAGUGCUUGGGCCCCUGCAUCCACUUGGGAGAUCCAGAAGGAGCUCCUGGUUCCAGGAUUUGGAUCGAUCAGCCCAGCUCCAGCCGUUGCAGCCAUUUGGGGAGUGAACCAGUGGAUGGAAGUUCUCUCUGUGUCUCUGUCUCUGUAACUCUACCUUUCAAAUAAAUAAAAAAAAAAGUUAAAAAAAAUAAGAAAGAAACCUGUGCCACUGUUUGCCCUCCCCCACUCCUGAUGGAACUUGCCCCUCCUGCUAGCAAAGGGUGAUGGAACUUUCCCACUCGUCAGGAAGUGAAAAAGCAGUCAGCCCAGCUGUCACAGACACAAGCCCCAGGCCAGUCGUGUCCUUGUUUUUCAACUGAUCACUGGAUGCAUUUCCUAAUAGGAAAAAAGAAAGGGACAUUUUGAUCAAGCGGUGUGGGAGGCUGAAUGACAGCCCCCCAGCCACACCCACGUCCUAAUGUCUGGAGUCUGUCAGUUUGCCUUCUGUGUAACUUACCCGCUUUGAAGCUGUGAUUAAUGUGAAGAUAUUGAGAGGGAGAAUUAUCCUGGAUUAUCUGGUGGGUCCCUGACGUAAUCACAGGUCUCACUGGAAGAGGGAGGUGAAGGAUUUGAUGACAGACAAGAGAAGGACGUGUGCUACAGUUAAAUGUGUCCCCUGACGUGUGUGUGUCAGAGACUUGAUCUCCAAUGAUACAGCCUUGAGAGGCGGGACCUUCAGUUAUGGGGGCUGUGGCCUCCUGCGUGGACGUGUGAGCUCCUUAGCGUGCCAGCGUGUGCUUACAGAGGACGAGUGCCUGACGGGAGCCCUGGAAGAUGCAUCUCUGAUCUGUGGCUUCAAUCAGAGAAUGCCUUCUGCUGGUAAGCAACUAAAUUUGUGGUAAUUUGUUUUUGUUAUUUUUUAAAGAUUUUUAUUUAUUUAUUUGAAAAAGUAGAGUUAUAGACUGUGAGAGGGAGAGACACAGAGGUCCGUCUCUGAUUCCAUCCACUGAUUCACUCCCCAAAUGGCUGCAACAGCAGGAGCUGAGCCAAUCUGGAGCCAGGAGCUUCUUCCGGGUCUCCCACGUGGGUGCAGGGGCCCAAGUGCUUGGGCCAUUCUCUUUUGCUUUCCCAGGCACGUUAGCAAGGACCUGGAUCAGAAGUGAAGCAGCCGGGACUCCAACCAGCGCCUAUAUGGGAUGCUGAUGCUGCAGGCUGGGGCUUUUAACCCACAAGCCAGAGCGCUGGCCCUGCUAACACCAAAUCUUGAAAUGUGAUGGUAAGUGUAACAAGCCAGUCAUAAAAGAUCACAUUUUGUGUGAUUCUUUUUAUUUGACAUGUCCAGAAGAGGCAAAUCCACUGACAGAAAUCCUAUCAGUGGUUGCCCAGGGCUGAAGGCAUGGAAGGUUUGGGAUGAUGACUGAGAGGGAUGGGGUUUCCUUUUGGGGUAAUGACGAGGUUUUAAGGUUCUGUGUGGUGAUGGUUGUUCUAAUGAGAUGUGCACUUAUAGGGUGAGUGAAUUAUAUAUCAAUAAAUCUGUUUAAAAUAUAAUGCUGAGGGGUGGGCAUGUGGGGUCAUGAGUAGUGGAGUUGCCACUUGGGUGCCAGCGUCCCAUGUCAGAGUGCCUGGUUUGAGUCCUGGCUACUCUGUUGCUGAUUCAGCUUCCUGCUAAUACACACCCUGGAAGGCAGCAGAUGACAGCUCCAGCACAUAGGUCCCUGUCACUUACAUGGGUAGGAGUUCUAGGCUUCUGAUUUUAGCCUGGCCCAGUCCUGCCUAUUUUGAGCAUUUGGGAGUGAACCAGCAGACAGAAGAUCUCUCUCUAUGUCUCUCUCUCUCUGCCUUUCAAAUAAAAAACAAAAAUUAACAAGAGCAAACAAAUGGGCAAUUGUGCUGAGAGCUGACACCUAGCAGAAGUAUACUGAAUAUUUGCCACUACUGUGCUACAAUUUUCUCACCUCCUCAUCUAAUUCUGAAAUAAUGGUGUAACUAACAUCAGCACUCACUACCUGCCAGACACUGUGGUAAAGCAUUUUACAUAUAUUAUCUCUCUUAAUCACCAAAUGCACCUAAUACUGUGGUUAUGGUUAUUAUCCCAUUUUAAGAUAAGGAAGCUGGAAUACUGAUAGGUUAAGUAACUUGCCCAGGGUCACACAGCUUACAAGUAGUAGAACCAGGAUUUCAACUCGAGUCACUGGACUUCUGAGCCCAAGAACUCAACUUGUUUCUCUGCACUGUGUCAUUAGCCCCCUGGACCGGCUGGUAGGAUCUGCAGAAUUUUCAAUUUCAUAUCUUCAGUCCUAUGCGAGGCUCAGCUACACUUCCUGAAUAUUUGUAAAGUGAGUCGCUUCUUUUGCUUAAAGCCGAAUGGCUUUCUGUUCCAUCCAACAGGUCCCUGGUUCAGAAGUGGGGAAAUUCCAACUCUCCUAGGGCAGAGCAGGGGCUUCCUGAGGGCUCAGCAACCACAGAGGGCAUCCACACUGACCCCUGCCCUGGGGAGCCGUAGAGAGCACACGUCAGAGCGAAGACUAAGGUGUUGCAGCGGAGCUUGGCAGCUCUUUGCUCUACGUCUUCCAACUUCUGAUAUGGAUUUUCUUUAAAUGCAGCAUUGCUAAAUUUUAUGUAAAGACAAUAGAAUAUUGUAAUGAAAAUCCUGGGCCCUGUACUCUGGAAGAUAGUUAUUCAGUUCCUUAAGAAGCUAAAACUACCAUAAAACGCAGCUAUUGUAAUCCUGAGCAUCUGUCCCAGAGAAAUGAAGAUUUAUCUUGUUAAAAAAUCCUUGAGGGACCAGCGCUGUGCCGUACUGGAUAAGGCCACUGCCUACAGUACCAGCACCCCAUAUGGGUGCUGAUUUGAGUCUCAGCAGAUGGAAGACCUCUCUCUCUCUCUCUGCCUCUGCCUCUCUGUAACUCUGCCUUUCAAAUAAAUAAAUAAAUCUCUCUAAAAAAAAAAAAAAGCCUUGAAUGGGGCCAGCAUUGUGGCGUAGUGGGUAAAGCCACCACCCAAAACGCUGGCGUCCCAUACAGACGCCAGUUCAAGUCCUGGCUACUCCUCUUCCAAUCCAGCUCCCUACUAAUGUGCCUUGGAAAGCAAUGGAAGAUGGCUCAAAUCCUUGCAGCCCUGCACCAUGUGGGAGACCCAAAUGAAGCUCCUGGCUUGUAGCUUCCGGCUUUAGCCUGGCCCAGCCCCAGCCAUUGUGGCCAUUUGGGGAAUGAACCAACAAAUGGAAUCUCUUUCUCUGUGUCUCCCCUCUCUCUUUCUGUAACUUUGUCCUUCAUAUAAAUGAAAUAAAUUAAAAAAAAAAAGACCCCUUGAAUGUUUAGAGUAGCUUUAUUGGGUGUAGUAAAAAACUCAAACAUCCUUCAGUGAGUGAGUGGUUAAGCCAUGGCACAACUGAGGAACCCCACUCAGCGUGGACAAAGACUCAGCAAUGAAAACGGAGGAAAUGUUAAUACUUAGACUUGCAGCAGUCUGGAUGAAUUUCCAGAAAACUAUGCUGAGUGAAAAAAAAAAUCUCAGAAGGUUACAUACUGUAUGACUCACUUAUAUAAAAUUCUUAAAAUGUCCUCGAAAUGGAGGACAUGCUACUGACUGUUAGAGUUCAGGCGGCAAGAAGAGAGUGGGGAUGUCUCUUAAAAGGACAACGUGAGGAAUCCUUGUGGUGAGGACAGCACUCUGUGUCUCGGCUGAAUCCACAUAUUUGGGCUGUGAUCCGGCACCAUCCUUUCCCAUGAUGCCAUGCUGGGAAAAACUCGGUGAGGGUACACAGCACCUCUUUGUCUCAUUGUGUUAUUUCUUACGGCAUGUGAAUGUAAAAUUAUCUCGCCGGUGCCGUGGCUCAAUAGGCUAUUCCUCCACCUAGCGGCGCCGGCACACCGGGUUCUAGUCCCAGUCGGGGCGCCGGAUUCUGUCCCGGUUGCCCCUCUUCCAGGCCAGCUCUCUGCUGUGGCCAGGGAGUGCAGUGGAGGAUGGCCCAAGUGCUUGGGUCCUGCACCCCAUGGGAGACCAGGAUAAGUACCUGGCUCCUGCCUUGGGAUCAGCGCGGUGCGCAGGCCACAGCACGCCAGCCAUGGCGGCCGUUGGAGGGUGAACCAACGGCAAAGGAAGACCUUUCUCUCUGUCUCCCUCCCUCACUAUCCACUCUGCCUGUCAAAAAAAAAAAAAAAAAAAAAGACUUACAACUAUCUCAAAGCCCCAGGUUGUUUUCACCUGUGCUUUAAGACCAAUCAAUUGGGGCCGGCUCUGUGGCAUAGCAGUUAAAGCCGCUGCCUGCAGUGGCGGCAUCCCAUGUGGGCAUCGGUUCGAGUCCCAGCUGCUCUACUUCCAAUCGGGCUCUCUGCUAUGGCCUGGGAAAGCAGUAGAAGAUGGCCCAAGUCCUUGGGCCCCUGCACCCGCGUGGGAGACCUGGAAGAAGCUCCUGACUCCUGGCUUCAGAUCAGUGCAGCUCCAGCCGUUGUGGCCAUUUGGGGAGUAAACCAUCGGAUGGAAGACCUCUCUCUCUCUCUCUCUCUCUCUCUCUCUCUCUCUGCCUCUCCUCUCUCUGUGUAACUCUGACUUUUAAGUAAAUAAAAAUAAUUUUUUUUUAAAUGGUUAAGAGGUCGACAUUUGGGAGUGAUGGAAAUGUUUUGCCCUGGAUGGAGGAGGUGCUUGCACAAGCCUGGCAGCAUACUAAAGGCCGGGGAAUUGUUCACUUCAAACUGGUCAAUUUAUGUUCAAUUUAUCUCAAUAAACUGAUAAA
Molecule: non-coding RNA, 7161 nt
Organism: Oryctolagus cuniculus (rabbit)
Lineage: Eukaryota; Metazoa; Chordata; Mammalia; Lagomorpha; Leporidae
Source: RefSeq, a predicted model, not a curated record